GCUUGUCUCGAUCGACAUUGGGGAGGAAAGUCCGAACACCCUCAGGCGGCGUGCUUCCUAACGGGAAGGCAUCGAAAGAUGAUAGAAAGUGCCACAGAAAAUAGACGUCCGAGCAUGGUUCGCCGUGCCCGGUCAAGGUGAAAAGGUGGGGUAAGAGCCCACCGCUCAACUGGUGACAGUUGGGGCAUGGUAAACCUCACGCGGUGCAAGCUCAAGCAGAUCCUGUGUUGCCUGACACAACGGGAUCGGGUAGAGUGCUCGAGCCAUGUGGUGACGCAUGGCCUAGAUCAAUGAUUACCCCCUGCAAAGGGACAGAAUUCGGCUUAUAGA
RNAcentral lists this RNase P RNA (330 nucleotides) under marine eukaryotic metagenome. RNAcentral's name for it is "Bacterial RNase P class A". It matches the Rfam family "Bacterial RNase P class A". From Rfam's summary of the family: Ribonuclease P (RNase P) is a ubiquitous endoribonuclease, found in archaea, bacteria and eukarya as well as chloroplasts and mitochondria. Its best characterised activity is the generation of mature 5'-ends of tRNAs by cleaving the 5'-leader elements of precursor-tRNAs. Cellular RNase Ps are ribonucleoproteins. The record is from RNAcentral.